CAGCCGCCACGGUAAAACGUAGGUGGCAAGCGUUGUCCGGAAUUAUUGGGCGUAAAGGGCUCGCAGGCGGUUUCUUAAGUCUGAUGUGAAAGCCCCCGGCUCAACCGGGGAGGGUCAUUGGAAACUGGGAAACUUGAGUGCAGAAGAGGAGAGUGGAAUUCCACGUGUAGCGGUGAAAUGCGUAGAGAUGUGGAGGAACACCAGUGGCGAAGGCGACUCUCUGGUCUGUAACUGACGCUGAGGAGCGAAAGCGUGGGGAGCGAACAGGAUUAGAUACCCCAGUAGUCCCUGUCUCUUAUCC
This 301-nucleotide ribosomal RNA is filed under the name uncultured bacterium. RNAcentral describes it as "partial 16S ribosomal RNA". It matches the Rfam family "Bacterial small subunit ribosomal RNA", at positions 509 to 809 of the family's 1533-position model. The record is from RNAcentral.